UUUAAGGUAGCCAAAUGUUCAGUAAGCGGUUGAAGGUUUAACGAAAGUUACACUGGACGCAUCUGAAGUAAGCAUUUUGACAUGAGUAGCCACAAGUCCAGAAAUGCUCACAAAACUUUUUGUGCGCAUUGGACGGCCGAAAACCCCAGGUUUUCUGCGAAAGGCAAAACCGCGCAGAGUGAAACGGCUCCUCAGAUCGUACCCGCUCGGGUAGAUUAAGGGGCUGGCACCAGCAUUUUCUCAGUGUACAAUGAUACUUUAUACCAAACACAAACAACACGUUUGUCUAUCCGGUUUUAUAGAUAUGUAUAAAACUCUAAGAUUUUUUUUAUUUUUUUAAAAAAUCGAUAAGAUACUGUUUGCUAAUAUACAGCGCA
RNAcentral lists this ribosomal RNA (377 nucleotides) under Bracteacoccus minor. RNAcentral describes it as "large subunit ribosomal RNA". It matches the Rfam family "Bacterial large subunit ribosomal RNA", at positions 1222 to 1592 of the family's 2925-position model. The record is from RNAcentral. Lineage: Eukaryota; Viridiplantae; Chlorophyta; Chlorophyceae; Sphaeropleales; Bracteacoccaceae.